This 495-nucleotide ribosomal RNA is filed under the name uncultured bacterium. Its description in RNAcentral is "partial 16S ribosomal RNA". It matches the Rfam family "Bacterial small subunit ribosomal RNA", at positions 30 to 507 of the family's 1533-position model. The record is from RNAcentral.
UGACCGCUGGCGGCGUGCCUACUACAUGCACGUCGAGCGAACAGACGCGGAGCUUGCUCCUCUGACGUUAGCGGCGGACGGGUGAGUAACACGUGGAUAACCUACCUAUAAGACUGGGAUAACUUCGGGAAACCGGAGCUAAUACCGGAUAAUAUAUUGAACCGCAUGGUUCAAUAGUGAAAGACGGUUUUGCUGUCACUUAUAGAUGGAUCCGCGCCGCAUUAGCUAGUUGGUAAGGUAACGGCUUACCAAGGCAACGAUGCGUAGCCGACCUGAGAGGGUGAUCGGCCACACUGGAACUGAGACACGGUCCAGACUCCUACGGGAGGCAGCAGUAGGGAAUCUUCCGCAAUGGGCGAAAGCUUGACGGAGCAACGCCGCGUGAGUGAUGAAGGUCUUCGGAUCGUAAAACUCUGUUAUUAGGGAAGAACAAAUGUGUAAGUAACUAUGCACGUCUUGACGGUACCUAAUCAGAAAGCCACGGCUAACUACGUG